UUUGUUUUUUAACACUGACGCAGUCCGGAUAAAUAGUCCGAAGUCCUUCAAUAAUACACUCCUCCGAUCAUGUUUCCUGAAAAGAAAGACACGGACUGGCUUCUGACCCUCAUUGUUGGCAUAAUCGUGGGCUAUUUAAUUGCCACACACAACGAAUAGAAGAAAAGAUGGAAAAGAAGCAAGUACAAAUGAAAUAAAAUUCAAGUAGAAACCUCAAAUCCAAGUAGGCAUGCUGUUUAUGGCUAUGGAGAGUACGAAAUAGAUUCAUCAUUCCAUAAUCUACUUUCUUCUCGGAACAACGUCAAAAUUUUCCGUUCUCGGACUUAAAAAUUUUUAAAGGGACAUGCAGAGGUUCAUAACAUUUAUUGUUGGUGGAAUUUGCGGUUAUUUGCUUGCCAAGAACAGAUAACUUGCAAUGAUCCACAUUAUUGCCUUUGGUUUGGGCGUGGUGUGUGGCAUGUUCGUAUGCCGACGCUGCGAGCCCUGAGAACAGAUGUCCUGCAUAGAGAGUCCAUUUAACAGACUUUUGUUCCUUUUUAUCUAAUAAAAUGAGAAGGCUGCUGUAAAACCAAGUUAUUAAAGGCAUUUUCUUUCAAGAGAAGACCCUAUAACGGUCUCUAGAUCCCAUAACAGACUCUCCAAUUCCUACAAGGUAGAUCGAAGCCUCGCUUGUCAAAAAUAUCCAACAAAAUAAUACACAAGUUUAAGCUGUUCUUUUGAAAUUCA
This 726-nucleotide small RNA is filed under the name Drosophila ananassae. RNAcentral's name for it is "GF27876". Lineage: Eukaryota; Metazoa; Arthropoda; Insecta; Diptera; Drosophilidae. The record is from RNAcentral.